This is a non-coding RNA of Podarcis lilfordi (Lilford's wall lizard), 72 nucleotides long. The record is from the annotation of a GenBank genome assembly. NCBI's taxonomy places the organism in Eukaryota, Metazoa, Chordata, Lepidosauria, Squamata, Lacertidae.
GACUGGAAUAGCUCAGUCAGCAGAGCAUGAGACUCUUAAUCUAAAUCAUGGGUUCGAGCCCCACAUUGGACA